AACGUAGGAGGCAAGCGUUAUCCGGAUUUACUGGGCGUAAAGCGUGUGCAGGCGGCUGAAUAAGUUGUGCGUGAAAGCUUCAGGCUAAACCUGAUGAGGCCGUGCAAGACUGUUCAGCUAGAAUCCAUCAGAGGCAAGCAGAAUUCCAGGUGUAGUGGUGAAAUGCGUAGAGAUCUGGAGGAAUACCAGAGGCGAAGGCGGCUUGCUGGGGUGGAAUUGACGCUCAGACACGAAAGCAUGGGGAGCGAACGGG
This 253-nucleotide ribosomal RNA is filed under the name uncultured bacterium. Its description in RNAcentral is "partial 16S ribosomal RNA". It matches the Rfam family "Bacterial small subunit ribosomal RNA", at positions 524 to 776 of the family's 1533-position model. The record is from RNAcentral.